GACGAACGCUGGCGGCGUGCUUAACACAUGCAAGUCGAACGGAAAGGCCCUGCUUUUGUGGGGUGCUCGAGUGGCGAACGGGUGAGUAACACGUGAGUAACCUGCCCUUGACUUUGGGAUAACUUCAGGAAACUGGGGCUAAUACCGGAUAGGAGCUCCUGCUGCAUGGUGGGGGUUGGAAAGUUUCGGCGGUUGGGGAUGGACUCGCGGCUUAUCAGCUUGUUGGUGGGGUAGUGGCUUACCAAGGCUUUGACGGGUAGCCGGCCUGAGAGGGUGACCGGCAACAUUGGGACUGAGAUACGGCCCAGACUCCUACGGGAGGCAGCAGUGGGGAAUAUUGCACAAUGGGCGGAAGCCUGAUGCAGCACCGCCGCGUGCGGGAUGACGGCUUUCGGGUUGUAAACCGCUUUCGCCUGUGACGAAGCGUGAGUGACGGUAAUGGGUAAAGAAGCACCGGCUAACUACGUG
Molecule: ribosomal RNA, 468 nt
Filed under: uncultured bacterium
Lineage: Bacteria
Description: partial 16S ribosomal RNA
Rfam family: Bacterial small subunit ribosomal RNA
Source: RNAcentral